UACGUAGGAGGCAAGCGUUGUCCGGAAUUACUGGGUGUAAAGCGCGUGUAGGUGGGAGGCCAAGUCUGUGGUGAAAGCGCCCGGCUCGAACUGGGCAGAGUCCAUGGAAACUGGUCACCUGGAGGACGGUAGAGGCGAGUGGAAUUCCCGGUGUAGUGGUGAAAUGCGUAGAGAUCGGGAGGAACACCAGUGGCGAAGGCGGCUCGCUGGCCGGUCCGUGACACUGAGACGCGAAGGCGUGGGGAGCGAACGGG
Molecule: ribosomal RNA, 254 nt
Filed under: uncultured bacterium
Lineage: Bacteria
Description: partial 16S ribosomal RNA
Rfam family: Bacterial small subunit ribosomal RNA
Source: RNAcentral